Neofelis nebulosa (Clouded leopard) is the source of this 2805-nucleotide long non-coding RNA. RefSeq lists it as uncharacterized. The transcript has 3 exons. NCBI's taxonomy places the organism in Eukaryota, Metazoa, Chordata, Mammalia, Carnivora, Felidae. The record is from RefSeq and is a predicted model, not a curated record.
GGACUGCCUAGGUUUAGGUCUCAUUUCUACUGUUUUCCUGCUGGGUGACUUUGGGCAAUUGACUUAAUCUCCCCGUGCCCCAGUUUUCUCAGCUGCAAAGUGAGGAACAGAAUAGAAACCACCUCACCGUCGCUGCAACGAUUAAGUGCACUAAAAUCUGUAAAAUUCUUACGGCAACGUCUGGCACGUCGUGAGUGCUAGUAAAGUGCGUACUAUUGUGGCCAGCAGCAAACUCAUCUCCUUUAGUGUUCUGUCAAUUAAUUUACAUUCCUUGACCUUUGACAUUGACUUAAGCCAAUAAAAAAAAAAAAAAAAAGGAAAGCAAGAGAAAAGAAAAAAGAAUUAAAAAGUGUCAUUUGGAAUUUGGUAGAAGGAAUAUAAAUUAUUCUCAUCCCAAUAUAAAUUAUUUGCGUACUCUCUUACCAAAACCACUUCGGAUUAAGUAAACCACACUUCCUCCCCGUUGUGUGAAGCAUCAGGAUUCAGUACAAUGGUGCUCUGAGAAUGAAAAUGCCACUCUACUCACAUACACCGAAGGCUUAGUGACAGUACUAAAUGAAGGAGACAUCAGGCUGUAUCAUACAGGAUACUCUGCGGUAUAAGCUACCUAGGAGACAUUGCAUUUACGCAGUUUCAACCACUGUUUAACCAUUUUAUAACAUAAUAUCAUGAUUGUGUUCAAACUUCUCAACAUGUUCCAGCAAAGUAAAGGGGUUCUAAGAGAAGCAGGAUCAUUAUCCAGCAACGACCCAUCACGACCAAUCAAACCGCAGCUAACUGAACCCGGAAAAACUGCUGACUUACAAGGUGCUGGGCCCCAUGAGUCUGCAAAGCACCCAGAAGACUGCGAACCACACUUCCUGUGCCAGAAAAGACAUGUGUGCAACUCAUCUGGGAUGAAGGAAAAACCAUUCUUUUUCUUUAAGAGUUCAUUAGAUUAAAACAACUAUGCAAAAACAAACAGAAGAAAUAUAUAAUGAUGUCAUAUUGAAUGUCACAGACUGAAACCACCCAGGUCAUGGGGAACUAAGGAUUUGAAAUAAUGUAUGGACCACGGAGAGGAAAAAGGAACAAGGCGAGCAAUGCAUGAGGGAAGAAGAUAGAACAUAGAGAGGAGUGAAUUAAUGUGUGUGCUUAAUUCACUUAGGGAAGAGCGCCGACUCAUUGUGAGCCCAGGAUCGAGGAGACUUGCAUACAUUUCCACUAUACUGCCUGGAUUUUGAUACUAUGGAUAUAGCAUUGAUGACAGUCUUUGGUGCUAAAUGAUGCUUUGACCAAGUAGAUGUUCAGAUAAGUUCUGCCAGGACACACAAAUAGCACUUUCAUCGGCCGCUGCUCCAAGGGAACUGCUUCUGUUAUGUGUACUUUGCUAGUGUUUUCCAGAGAGACUGAAGCUGUUUAGCCUCAGAGCUUUAUAGAUUAUUCUUUUUUUGGAAAAUACUGAGAGUCACCACUAUCUGCUUUGAAUGUUUCGUAUUUUAAUGCAUAAGAAAUAUGUGUGCAAUGGGUGAGUAGAUGAUACUUUUUUAAAAUUGCAAAUUGUAAAAUAUAACCGAACUCUUAAACACCAUACAAUCAGAAUCACGAAAGCAAGCUACUCAGAAAUGGAGUCUCAAUGCCGACUAUAGAUCUUUUGUCAGAACUAAGAAACUACAAAUCAACAUGUGGCCAUCUUCAGCCUCUUGUAAGGUCUUUAGAUAUGACACCAUGAGGUCAAGACAUAGAACUCCGAGUGUGCAUGUGUUUUCAUGUUUAUAUACUUUGAAUUUGCUUUGUGCCCACUAAUUUAUUAAGUACCUUCCUCCUUUCAGUUAAUCCAGUACUAAGGGGGCACUACAUUUUUGUAUAAAAUGGGUUUUAAGCUUUGCCCAAAGGGGAAAUACAUCAUUAUUUUUCAAGGAUUUUUCUUUUUGGAAAGCAUCACGGUGUGUGUUAACAUACAUAAGAGAUUUAAUCUCAGUAAAUGUGAAAGCUAGCUUUCUUAAAUGAUUUUCUUUCCCCAAGUUGACCUAACAGGUAUAGAAGAGAGUCUGCACGUAUUUCAAUUUACAUGCAGGAAAAUGACAAUGAGCUUACAAGAAAGCAUUAUUUAUAGUGUCAGUUCCUGCCUUGCUAAAAUUUGGUGAUUCAGUUAUUCAAACCAUGUAACAGAAUAGAUUUAGUGUAAAUACAAGUUUUAAAAAGAGAUUUUCUUUGCUGAUAAGACCAGAAGCUGAAACACAGACAGAAUUGAAGUCUGUGUAGUAAAUUCAGAGUUUCUCUGUUACUAACCAGAGAGACAAUUUUCUGAAAUGCUCGUUUACAGUGAUCAUUCAUCUGGAUUUCUUUAACAUUUAGAAUGGACCGGGGGAAGCUCAAAUCUGAAUGGAGGAGAAGAAAUAGUUGGAUUUGAUCCUAGUUAGUACAUUAAAAUAUCUAAGUAAGCACCUAUAAGAUGGGCAGUAAUGUAACUUGGAUUUUGUUUUAGUAACCAUAUAGGGCUAUCAUUGUUAUUUUUCCUGUGAUCAUUAGUCAUUAAUGUUAUUGGUGACACUGGAGUAUAGCAUUUUAAUUUUGCAUAGUUGUGAUAUAAGUUACUUAUUUGCAACUUGUGCAUAGGGCUUUGAAUAUUAAAAGACACAUUUACCAAGGGCCUGGAAUUAAAACCAAUGGGGGAUAUACGCCUGCAGAACAUGAGCUAGUCAAUGAAAGAGGAAAAGAUCGAUCGUAUCCUCAGAUACUGAUCAAAUUUAUUUUUAAAAUGGAAGAAAGUCUCCCGUAGCGAAGCACAGAAAUUGAGCCAAACAUUUGGAAAUAGGUCUUGUG